CACGUAGGCGGACUGGAAAGUUGGAGGUGAAAUCCCAGGGCUCAACCUUGGAACUGCCUUCAAAACUAUCAGUCUGGAGUUCGAGAGAGGUGAGUGGAAUUCCGAGUGUAGAGGUGAAAUUCGUAGAUAUUCGGAGGAACACCAGUGGCGAAGGCGGCUCACUGGCUCGAUACUGACGCUGAGUGCGAAAGCGUGGGGAGCAAACA
RNAcentral lists this ribosomal RNA (206 nucleotides) under uncultured bacterium. RNAcentral's name for it is "partial 16S ribosomal RNA". It matches the Rfam family "Bacterial small subunit ribosomal RNA", at positions 568 to 774 of the family's 1533-position model. The record is from RNAcentral.